GGCCGGAUAGCUCAGUCGGUAGAGCAGAGGACUGAAAAUCCUUGUGUCGCUGGUUCGAUUCCAGUUCCGGCCACCA
RNAcentral lists this transfer RNA (76 nucleotides) under Verrucomicrobiota bacterium. RNAcentral describes it as "Verrucomicrobia bacterium (activated sludge metagenome) tRNA-Phe". It matches the Rfam family "tRNA". Rfam says of the family: Transfer RNA (tRNA) molecules are approximately 80 nucleotides in length. Lineage: Bacteria; Pseudomonadati; Verrucomicrobiota. The record is from RNAcentral. RNAcentral also lists the same sequence under 1 other name.